UGGGGAAUAUUGGACAAUGGGGGGAACCCUGAUCCAGCCAUGCCGCGUGUGUGAAGAAGGCCUUAUGGUUGUAAAGCACUUUAAGCGAGGAGGAGGGUACUGGUAUUAAUACUACCAGGUACUGGACGUUACUCGCAGAAUAAGCACCGGCUAACUCUGUGCCAGCAGCCGCGGUAAUACAGAGGGUGCGAGCGUUAAUCGGAUUUACUGGGCGUAAAGCGUGCGUAGGCGGCUAAUUGAGUCGGAUGUGAAAUCCCCGAGCUUAACUUGGGAAUGGCAUUCGAUACUGGUUAGCUAGAGUAGGGCAGAGGGUGGUGGAAUUUCCUGUGUAGCGGAGAAAUGCGUAGAUAUAGGAAGGAACACCAGUGGCGAAGGCGACCACCUGGGCUCAUACUGACACUGAGGUGCGAAAGCGUGGGGAGCAAACAGG
This 430-nucleotide ribosomal RNA is filed under the name Pseudomonadota bacterium. RNAcentral's name for it is "Proteobacteria bacterium partial 16S ribosomal RNA". It matches the Rfam family "Bacterial small subunit ribosomal RNA", at positions 355 to 776 of the family's 1533-position model. Lineage: Bacteria; Pseudomonadati; Pseudomonadota. The record is from RNAcentral.